CGAACGCUGGCGGCGUGCCUAAUACAUGCAAGUAGAACGCUGAAGAGAGGAGCUUGCUCUUCUUGGAUGAGUUGCGAACGGGUGAGUAACGCGUAGGUAACCUGCCUGGUAGCGGGGGAUAACUAUUGGAAACGAUAGCUAAUACCGCAUAAAAUUGAUUAUUGCAUGAUAAUUAAUUGAAAGAUGCAAUUGCAUCACUACCAGAUGGACCUGCGUUGUAUUAGCUAGUUGGUGAGGUAACGGCUCACCAAGGCGACGAUACAUAGCCGACCUGAGAGGGUGAUCGGCCACACUGGGACUGAGACACGGCCCAGACUCCUACGGGAGGCAGCAGUAGGGAAUCUUCGGCAAUGGGGGGAACCCUGACCGAGCAACGCCGCGUGAGUGAAGAAGGUUUUCGGAUCGUAAAGCUCUGUUGUAAGAGAAGAACGGGUGUGAGAGUGGAAAGUUCACACUGUGACGGUAUCUUACCAGAAAGGGACGGCUAACUACGUGCCAGCAGCCGCGGUAAUACGUAGGUCCCGAGCGUUGUCCGGAUUUAUUGGGCGUAAAGCGAGCGCAGGCGGUUAGAUAAGUCUGAAGUUAAAGGCUGUGGCUUAACCAUAGUAUGCUUUGGAAACUGUUUAACUUGAGUGCAGAAGGGGAGAGUGGAAUUCCAUGUGUAGCGGUGAAAUGCGUAGAUAUAUGGAGGAACACCGGUGGCGAAAGCGGCUCUCUGGUCUGUAACUGACGCUGAGGCUCGAAAGCGUGGGGAGCAAACAGGAUUAGAUACCCUGGUAGUCCACGCCGUAAACGAUGAGUGCUAGGUGUUAGGCCCUUUCCGGGGCUUAGUGCCGCAGCUAACGCAUUAAGCACUCCGCCUGGGGAGUACGACCGCAAGGUUGAAACUCAAAGGAAUUGACGGGGGCCCGCACAAGCGGUGGAACAUGUGGUUUAAUUCGAAGCAACGCGAAGAACCUUACCAGGUCUUGACAUCCCUCUGACCGCUCUAGAGAUAGAGUUUUCCUUCGGGACAGAGGUGACAGGUGGUGCAUGGUUGUCGUCAGCUCGUGUCGUGAGAUGUUGGGUUAAGUCCCGCAACGAGCGCAACCCCUAUUGUUAGUUGCCAUCAUUCAGUUGGGCACUCUAGCGAGACUGCCGGUAAUAAACCGGAGGAAGGUGGGGAUGACGUCAAAUCAUCAUGCCCCUUAUGACCUGGGCUACACACGUGCUACAAUGGCUGGUACAACGAGUCGCAAGCCGGUGACGGCAAGCUAAUCUCUGAAAGCCAGUCUCAGUUCGGAUUGUAGGCUGCAACUCGCCUACAUGAAGUCGGAAUCGCUAGUAAUCGCGGAUCAGCACGCCGCGGUGAAUACGUUCCCGGGCCU
This 1367-nucleotide ribosomal RNA is filed under the name uncultured bacterium. RNAcentral's name for it is "16S ribosomal RNA". It matches the Rfam family "Bacterial small subunit ribosomal RNA", at positions 30 to 1381 of the family's 1533-position model. The record is from RNAcentral.